This 305-nucleotide small RNA is filed under the name Macaca fascicularis (crab-eating macaque). RNAcentral describes it as "Metazoan signal recognition particle RNA (ENSMFAG00000050854.1)". Lineage: Eukaryota; Metazoa; Chordata; Mammalia; Primates; Cercopithecidae. The record is from RNAcentral.
GCCGGGUGUGGUGGCAGACAUCUGUAAUCCCAGCUGCUUAGGAGGCUGAGGCAGGAGAAUCACUUGAACCUGGGAGGCGGAGGUUGCAAUGAGCUGAGAUUGCACCACUGCACUCCAGCCUUGGCGACGAGCGAAAGUCCAUCUCAAAAAAAAAAGGAGGCCUUGCUUAGCAGGGUGAAUAAAAUUUUUUUUUUUUUUUUUUUGAGACGGAGUUUCGCUCUUGUUGCCCAGGCUGGCAUGCAGUGGCACCAUCUCGGCUCACUGCAACCUCCGCCUCCCAGGUUCAAGCGAUUCUCCUGCCUCAG